GGCGAUGCUUAUUAGUUGCAAUUUGCCAGCUCUGGCAUAAGUUUACUCUAGCCAAAGCCAACAGUAGCAAGCACCGCAAACUAAACCAAAUAAAUAAAAUAAUCGCCUUUCCGAGAAGUUGAUAGAAUGGGUAAAAAUAAGGGUGGCGGUGGAGGAGGAGGAAGUGGCGGUGGUGGAGGCGGCGGCAAUGUAAGCAAUAUUUGUGUUAUGCAACUUGCGUACUAAUUAAAAAGGGCGGCGUUGGUGGCGGCGGUGGCUCCGGAAAUAAAAACAAAGGCGGCGAUGGAGGCGGCGGUGACAAAGGUGGAGCCAAGAAAGGACAGGACCAAAAGGCAGCCGCAGGCGGUGGCAAGAAGGGAGGCAAGAAAUAGCAACCAUGGCAACAUCAAAGCGCAUUAAAAAUUACAAAUUUAGAGUUAAGUUGAAAUUAAAAGUGAUAUCAGGGUGUAUAUACGAGUA
RNA transcript from Drosophila sechellia, 459 nucleotides. It is a transcript of the gene named glycine-rich protein DOT1, with no coding region annotated. The record is from RefSeq and is a predicted model, not a curated record. The transcript is spliced from 2 exons. Lineage: Eukaryota; Metazoa; Arthropoda; Insecta; Diptera; Drosophilidae.